Long non-coding RNA from Mustela erminea (ermine), 2013 nucleotides. RefSeq lists it as uncharacterized. Lineage: Eukaryota; Metazoa; Chordata; Mammalia; Carnivora; Mustelidae. The record is from RefSeq and is a predicted model, not a curated record. The transcript has 3 exons.
CUUCGCUUGUGUUCUUCAGAAGGCAAAGCCCAAGGUCCAGGCUUCUGUGCCAGAACCUCAUCAAGAUCACAUAGGUUGACACCUUCCCACUCUGGGACAUCGGUACGAACCUCACCUCUGUGGAAGUCUCUUGUCUGCAGCCUGCUCCCUAGCAUUCACUUCCACCUCCACUAAUUUUCUUAAUGGAUAAACAGCCCCAGCUUCAGCUACAAAUGACUGCAUGGAUAUGGUCUGGACAACUACCACAAAGGAAAAAGGAAGGGAAGGAAGGGCCACCUGGCCUCAGGAGAUCAUGCAGCCUCUCUCUGGGCAUGAAAGGAUCAAUCCUUCUCAGUAGAGUUUUCGAAUUCCAAGUGGCCUUGCUUAUGUCAGGCUAGGGUCAAAAGCCCUUGAAUCAAACAAAUCAAGAGGACCUGAGAGGAUCCUGGCGAUGGUCAUCAUGAGCCAGGCAGAUAACCCGCACCCCCCACCGCCCCCGCCGUUUGUGUCUGGUGCAGUGUUGCUGCUGACAGGGCACAUUCACACCUGUAGCUUUAAGGUUCUUAAUUCAAGCCUCCCACUGUCUUUGCUUCCAGACCUCUCACUCCUAAUCUUCCCAAUUUCUCCAUUCCAUACCCACUGUUAGUCUUUGCUCCCUAAAUAUUUCCCCUCAUCCCGAGGCGCUCUUGCUUAGACACUUUCCCCAGCUCUCCUCGGGGUUUGGCUUCCUGCCUUUAAGAUGCACUCUCCUGCCUCCUUCUCCAGGAAGUCCUGCCAGAAUGCUUACUUGACACCCUAUUUUUUUCUCUUUUUGCCAACUUCUUUUCCUGUGUUAUAUAUCGUAUCCUGUGUCACUCACGGUGCCUACAGGAAACAGCUGACAUACUCAAAUUGGGCAAUUUGAGGAGAGUUUUUAAAAAGGUCCAUUUACAAAGGCAACAGCAGGGGCUCCCAAUGGGAUCAAUCCAGACAGCAAGAUAGAGUGUUGGCCACCUCCAUGCAGGGCAGCUUCUCGGACACAGGGCAGGGUGGAGAAAGGUACAGAGUGGAUCCAAGAGCAUUGGCCAGGACGUCCUGUACAUUCUUUGAUUAGAUAGAGCAUUAUCUUCUCGUGGCCAGCCACCAAGCCUUUGUUUUAUCUUUCCUUUCACUGCCUCUUCCGCCCCCACCCCCAUAAAGACUAGGACGCUGCAGAUGUUCCGUAAAAGUGACCAGCUGGGGUUUGGCAGAUGAACAGUCUCCAGACUGAACAACACAGCAUGGGUUCCAUCCAUUCUCCCUCGCCCUGGGCCACAGGUGCUGCUGUUCUGAUCAUUAGAUUUCAGAACACAGAUGGGACCACACACACCAGCAGCCGGGGGGCCUCUGGGUAUUAAAAGAUCCAGCACAGGCACUAGCAAUUUUGUUUCCACCCGGCAAACAGCUGCAUGUUUCAUCAGGAGCAGGCUCUGCUAUUCUCUUUUUCUCUGUUCUCUUUUAUUCACAUGCGUUUUUGACAUACGCAUAUCGUUAGGCUUGGGCUUGGCCCUCUGGAAUAAGAUUUGGAUUUUGGUUUGGGAGGAGGUGGUGGAAUGUCGUAAGCCUUGAACUAUAAACAGUUUGCCAGCAUCUACAUCAAGGAGCUAGGUUUAGCCCAGAUCAUAAUAAAUCGGCUCCAGUUUUCCUUUCUGGGGCACUCACUGCAUUGCACAAUUCCUAGGGAUGUAAAUGGCAUCCCCUAACGUUUUGCCGCACAGUUGGACCACAUCAGAUGGAGGCAUUCCUGAGUUUCUUGCUGUAAUAUCCAGCCUAGCACACAGACAUCUUCCCCGCUUACUGAAUGAACCCGCGGGGCCGCCUGCGCCUCCCGCAUGGGCGGACGCCCCCUGGUGUUCAUAUUUCCCACUGCACCUGUGACCGAAGCCUGUGUUAGCAUGCCGGGAAAGCUUGAGCUUCUGCUUAUGCGGGUCAAUUUGCCAGGACCCCGAAGUAAACCAGGAAAAAUUUUGUCCUCUCUGAAAACUGAGAGUCUUUCCUCAGUUCCAAAAGUUUAGA